AUGGCGGGCAAGUUGGAAGACAAGAGGGCGAGGCAUUUUGUAUUUGGAAUUGAUAUGUUUUAGAACAAUUUGACUGCAAACUUUAGUKCCGUAAAACGCUUAAUGAAGGAGGAUUAAGGAUAACAGUCGUUGAAGCAGCAAYGUGGAAUAUUAUCUGAAAACAAAUGUGCAAAUGUUACAAUUAAAAGGGGUCAAUCACUAGCGAGCAAAACGAAAAAUCAAGGCUAGUGCAUCCUUGGAAGGAAAUCAAUAAUAAUGAAUUAUAAAGCCAUCUUUCUGAGCUUAACUAUUUCUACUUGUGUGGUUGUAUUUAUCCUUGGCUCCAAAUAUAAUGUUCAUCAUAUGAUUUUAAGAAAAACAUGUCCUACAUGUAGUGGGGAAAAUUCUUACCUUUGUCCAUCCACUAACUGGACAAACGCUGCUGCAGUUCCAUAUAUUGACGUCAAGAAAGACAUUUCCAGGAAAUUAGCUGUGAUUUACCAGGAACUKAAAUCAGCUGCUGGUCACAAGWURCCACCAACACCAAAACUACUCCUUGAACUCAAAGGAAUAAUAGGUGAACUUGAUCCAGCAUACAGACUCAGUCAAGAUGAUAAAGAACCUGUUGAACCGAAGACCACAAAUGGUUCUGUAUUGCUAGAUGUUUGCCCUGAGAAAUACAUGGGGGAGAAAUUUGGUUAUCCAUUUUWCGAAAAAGGAUGGGUGAUGCAAAACUGUGCCAAUGUGAAACCGCUUGACAAGGUUUGUUUUGUAUGAAAAUGGUGGAAACUAGCAAGUGUGAGCUGCGUCGGUGUUUCUGAAGAAACAGUAGAAUUAAAAGAUAGUUGUUUUAAGGUGUUAAAAUUUAUCUUUUUACACA
Exaiptasia diaphana is the source of this 859-nucleotide long non-coding RNA. RefSeq lists it as uncharacterized. NCBI's taxonomy places the organism in Eukaryota, Metazoa, Cnidaria, Anthozoa, Actiniaria, Aiptasiidae. The transcript is spliced from 3 exons. The record is from RefSeq and is a predicted model, not a curated record.